CCUAUCAAAAUCCGAAAUCCAAGUUAAAUAGCACAAAGUGCGAAUAGAGUGCUUGUUAAAGGAGCUUAAAUAUGCGAAGCUGCUGCCGAACUAUGCACUAUGUGCCACAUGUCCUUUUCCUUUGUGCUCUAAUGCCAUUGAGCUUCACCCAAAGGACAAACCAUAAAUUGCCCAGCUUGAGCUCGCUUGACUCGAGGUCAUGGCAUUUAAAGCUAGUCAAUUUACAAUCCAAACAAUCAUUUGCCAAAAUGCCCGCAGCAAAACGCCUGGCAAUGCGGCAACUUAAUGUAUUUUAAAUUAUUCCACAACUUCUGUAAGUGAUACCUGCCACCACCGCCAGCCGAAUGAAAUAUAAACUCAUGAAUGCUAAUAAAUUACGAAAUUAUUGCGGCUCCAAAUCGAAAUAGCGGCAUAAAUGUCAGUGGAGCUAUUUUUAAUGUCUGUUUUCAAACUUCUCGAAACUCAGGAAACGGAACCACCGCCAGAAAAUUCCAGACUAAAUUGCGGCUAGUUGGUAAUCGAAAAUCAUUUGAACCGAGAUUGGGCUAAGAUAUUUUUGGGAAUACAUCCAGUUGGGGUGGGAGACUUGUCUGACCAUCGCUUGGCCCAAAUUUAUAUGCGCAAAAGUUGCGAUUCUGCUGCUCGAGAGUAAAUCAAAAAUGCGAAACUCUUUGGUUGGCCAGCAAAAAGUUUUCUUAGCCGCUGUUGUUGUCGCCGUAUCCUCAGCAGUUGAUUUUGGCAACGUUCUUGUUUUGGUCUUGUGCUGAGCUUAUCCUUUCGACCCGAUCUUCUGUGCCACUUGCACUGGCAAAAAUAAUUGGCUAACAUGUUUCGAUCAAAAAAGAAUAAAAGAAGUACUCACAGGCAGUUAAUUGAGAUUUUCUGAAAGCGCUCAAAAGUAGGCAACCAUAUGCAAAGUCCUUCGAAUUCAUUUCAAGGAAUCGCCGCCUGUUUCUUUCAAUGCACUUUUCUUUUUUCUCCGGUUGUCCUGUUUCGAACUGUCGAAAUGAAUAAUUUCAGUGAAUUUACUACACAAUUUUAUUCAUAUAAAUCACAAAUUAAAUAAGUUUUUACGAGGUUGUUCAGCGGUUGCAGCCCACUACAAAACUUGUUUGUGUUCUCAUUCUCAACGUCCAUUCGUUUAUUUGUUUGUUUGUUUGUUCGCUUGCUUGCCAGCUUGUUUGUUGGGUCUGGUAUGGUCUGGUCCGGGUUAUUCGACCCUUUCCACAUGGCCAGCAAAGACGAAUGAUGAUGGAGGAGCUUGGGGUUGGGAUUGGAGCCGGAGCUGGAGCUGGUGCUGGUGGUGGUCACGGAGCUGGGUUCUUCCCCCAACCGCCUUUAUGCCAUUUGCCCUUUUUUAUAGCUGUGUAAUUUUUUUGUUGGCCUCUUUAUUUAUGCUUAUUAUCGUGAUUGCUAUUCCUGGGUUGGAAAAACACCGCAGCCGAAGCCAACCGCACUCUAUAAGGAAGAAAGUUAAGCCUCGAAUAACCUAGCCGUAUAAUUCAAUUUGGAGCAGAACUUUUGUGGGAACCUCUCGUGUUUUCCAUAUGAUAUAUCAUAUGAUAUGAUAUUUGAUUGUUAUAAGGAGUUAUCAGCACAUUCAAGUGAACCAACAACGUAUAAUGAUGGUAUUGUAGCCAACAAAGGAUCCUUGGCUGAGCAACACCUUAAUUUACAUUUCACAUUUACUUUGACGAACCGAUGAUGUUGGGGAUUAUCCCCGUUAAGCUGUUCAAAGAGAUGCGCGAAUAUUAAGCGAGUCCGCCGUGAAAGUGAAAAUAUAAUCACCAAAUCAAUGAAUAAAUGGGGUCAGUGGGAAGUAGUUGUACAAUUAUGAUUGGGCUGUUGGCCAACAGUACACUUUCCAAGGCGAAAUCCAGUUUGGCAGCUCAUUUGGGCCUGGAUUUGCCAUGUAUCCGACGCUUCGCUCAAUCAUUUAUCACUUCUACUCGUAGGGUAACAGACACACCCAUCGUGUUGGGCCUUUUCUAGCUCACAUUUUUGGGUUUUCUUUUCUUUUUUCGUUGAGCACGUCUCGUCAGCGGGAAAUGCGGGUGAAAACUGUGGAAUGGUCCCUAAUUUGCAUACGAAGGCUUGAGGAGGCUUCAUGCAGAUGCAUUAAGAAUGUAACAUUAGUCGGGCGGAGCAAGGAGGCCAAGGAGCAGGAAGAUAAACAAUGCGGAACGCCUUAAACGUUAGCCAGGAUGACACGAGAUGAGCUGAGAAAUUUGGCCUCGCACACUGGCAAUAAAAUAUUCACCUCAGCACGGCAAUGGAAAGGAUGUGAGAAGGGAUUGAUAAAUUGAACUUAUCUAGCCAGAGCUUGGCUUGGGCCGCACUUGGCUAGAACGCUCACUUAUUUUAUUGUAGUGUAGCCGAUUUUUGGGCCGAUUUCAUUCCGUUUCAUUCCGCUCUUAUUCAUGGCAUUCACGUGCGCCCGACACGAGAUUCACGAGACGUGGAAGCAAUUUACGAUGUGGCCACCGCAACAAUGAGCAAUUAAUCAUGCCACGGCCACAAAAUGGAGCAUGGAGUUGCUCCUCCCGCUCCUCCUGUUUCACUUUUCCCGGCAUCCGCCUGCGAGUCACCCAGAGCACCACCCACUCAAGGACGCGGCCGGCGAAGGCCGCCCAGCAGACACAGAAGGCAGCGCCAAAGAGAGGCGUAAAAAAGGAGGAAAAUCCGGAAAAAAAGUGUAUCCGACCUUGAGCUGCAUUCACCUACCGCCAUUUGGCCACCCAUCACCGCCAUCACCGACAGGCGCCCAACUAUUUCGCACAUCAAAUCAUAAUUUAUGGACGGCAAUCAAAAUGAGCCUGACUUCCCAUUCCAUUUCUUUCCAAUUUUUUUUUUUUUACAUUUCGGUUAUAUUUGAUGAUGGGUUGGGCUGGUGCGAAAAAGUUGCGCAUUCGCCCACAUAAUUAUCGGUUUGAUUUAUGGCAGCAUUUUCGCAGCCAAUUACUUCGCACCAGAUGAAACGCGGGGGAAAAAAACGGAACCGGAAGUUAAAAUGAACCACGGAGCGACCGCAUAUCGAAUCCUUGGCAGCUCACCCAUCUACAAUAUAUCCUUGGCCAUAUUGCCACCAAAAGGAGCCCCGCUGAUUGUGAUCUCCUGUUGGCCAGCCUUGAAGUCAGUCAAAACUCGCCGUGAAUGCCCAUGAUUUUGUGAGUUGCAUGCAGUGCUUGAAGGACAUUCAGUCAGAAAUAAGUAGAGAAAAUAAAAGAGUUUUCGGGCAAACAAACUGCCAUGCCAUCGAAUUUUGUUCAUACACUUACAUGUCUGCAUAGUUUACAGUGUAGAGAAAUGAAAUGGGUCCUCUAGGCCUGGUGGGCAAUCCAGCAGGACAUUAACAAAGUUGGCGCCCAGCGCACAAAAAGACAAACAGGCAAAUGGACAAAUAGACAAACAGAAUGACAGAUAGGCAGUCGGAUAAACAGAUGGACCAUCAAAUGGUUGACACACACGUAUAUAUCUCCGCCGAGCAAGGACAAUGGGGACAGGACAAUGGGAACCAGGUCAACCAGGGGCACAGAGGUGAAGGCAAAAGAGUCGACAGCCAGCUGCCAACCCGAAAAUUUUCACCGAACCUGAAGGCUUAAGUGGGAAAUUCUGUUUAAACUCGAUUGCCAUGGAAAUGUAUGCUUUUUUGGGCAUACGUGCUCGUUGAAUUUGAAUACUCACCGAGUGUGUAUGAAAAGAAAUAUAAUGCCACACAUAUGAUGACGUGUUAA
This is a long non-coding RNA of Drosophila sechellia, 3734 nucleotides long. RefSeq lists it as uncharacterized. The record is from RefSeq and is a predicted model, not a curated record. Lineage: Eukaryota; Metazoa; Arthropoda; Insecta; Diptera; Drosophilidae. The transcript is spliced from 2 exons.